ACACCGGCAGCCCAAGUGGUGGCCAUUUUUAUUGGGCCUAAAGCGUUCGUAGCCGGCCUGAUAAGUCUCUGGUGAAAUCCCGCAGCCUAACUGUGGGAAUUGCUGGAGAUACUAUCAUGACUCGAGGUCGGGAGAGGCUGGAGGUACUCCCAGGGUAGGGGUGAAAUCCUGUAAUCCUGGGAGGACCACCUGUGGCGAAGGCGUCCAGCUGGAGCGAACCUGACGGUGAGGGACGAAAGCCAGGGGCGCGAACCGGAUUAGAUACCCGGGUAGUCCUGGCCGUAAACGAUGUGGACUUGGUGUUGGGAUGGCUUCGAGCUGCCCCAGUGCCGAAGGGAAGCUGUUAAGUCCACCGCCUGGGAAGUACGGCCGCAAGGCUGAAACUUAAAGGAAUUGGCGGGG
This 402-nucleotide ribosomal RNA is filed under the name uncultured bacterium. RNAcentral's name for it is "partial 16S ribosomal RNA". It matches the Rfam family "Archaeal small subunit ribosomal RNA", at positions 473 to 873 of the family's 1478-position model. The record is from RNAcentral.